CGAGUUCAAUAUGACAAAAUGACUCUCGGCAACGGAUAUCUCGGCUCUCGCAUCGAUGAAGAACGUAGCAAAAUGCGAUACGUGGUGUGAAUUGCAGAAUUCCGUGAACCAUCGAGUUUUUGAACGCAAGUUGCGCCCAACGUCAUUCGGCCGA
RNAcentral lists this ribosomal RNA (154 nucleotides) under Elatostema parvum var. parvum. RNAcentral's name for it is "5.8S ribosomal RNA". The stretch from base 21 to 154 matches the Rfam family "5.8S ribosomal RNA", at positions 1 to 131 of the family's 154-position model. From Rfam's summary of the family: 5.8S ribosomal RNA (5.8S rRNA) is a component of the large subunit of the eukaryotic ribosome. Lineage: Eukaryota; Viridiplantae; Streptophyta; Magnoliopsida; Rosales; Urticaceae. The record is from RNAcentral.